ACGGGGCCCGCACAAGCGGUGGAGUAUGUGGUUUAAUUCGACGCAACGCGCAGAACCUUACCUAGACUUGACAUCCCGGGGAUUUUCUGGAAACAGAGAAGUGCUUUAGCAAUAAAGAACCCGGUGACAGGUGCUGCAUGGCUGUCGUCAGCUCGUGUCGUGGGAUGUUGGGUUAAGUCCCGCAACGAGCGCAACCCUCGCCUUUAGUUGCCAGCAUUCAGUUGGGCACUCUAGAGGGACUGCCGGUGUCAAACCGGAGGAAGGUGGGGAUGACGUCAAGUCCUCAUGGCCUUUAUGCCCAGGGCUACACACGUGCUACAAUGGGCGGUACAAAGAGCAGCGAGCUCGCGAGAGUAAGCAAAUCUCAAAAAGCCGUCCUCAGUUCGGAUUGCACUCUGCAACUCGAGUGCAUGAAGUUGGAAUCGCUAGUAAUCGUGGAUCAGAAUGCCACGGUGAAUACGUUCCCGGGCCUU
Molecule: ribosomal RNA, 473 nt
Filed under: uncultured Desulfovibrio sp.
Lineage: Bacteria; Pseudomonadati; Thermodesulfobacteriota; Desulfovibrionia; Desulfovibrionales; Desulfovibrionaceae
Description: bacterial SSU rRNA
Rfam family: Bacterial small subunit ribosomal RNA
Source: RNAcentral